AUGGGUAAAUUCCUUGUUGCUGCUAUCCUGCUAUCUCUUGUCUACCAUGGAACCGAGUUGGCCAGAGCGUGGGAUGAUAAAGAUUUCUUCAGCUACUGUCCACCAUCAAAGUGCAGCAAACAUGGGCCAGAAAUCAGGUUUCCUCUUCGACUUGAAUCCAGCAAUACAUCAUCAUCAUGCGGUACACCAUGCAUAAAGUUAGCAUGCUCUGGCCAGGACACCAUCCUAGCUCACCCAGGCCUUGGCCGAUGCAAGGUGACUGCCAUAGAUUACAGCAGUGGUGGCAUGUAUGUCACCCCGCUUGUAUACUCUGUAUCUCCAUGUCUGCUCCAGAAACUCUUCUCCAAAAGCAUACCGGUUGAUGCUGCCUAUGCAGAGAACCAGGGCCCAUGUCAGAACAUGUUUUUUGAGUACGAUGCCAUCCUAAUAUGUUGUACGAGAGAGUUCACGCCAAGGCUCAUCGAUGUGGCUAGCCCAGUCUCCUGCCUUAGCAACACAACUCACUUUUCAUACCUAGUGGAUGCUUCCCGACUCAUUUAUGUUCUUCCAUUGGACUGCAAGGCAUGCUCAGAUGGCGUCGUCUCGAUACCCACUUCCUUCGGACCAUUCUUCAACGGUUCCCUUAGUUUUGCAGAGAUACUGCUUGAAUGGACGUAUCCAAGGUUUAAGGUAGACACGGGCGGCAUCGCUUGCCAAAUAUGUGAACGGCAAGGGGGACAGUGUGCAUUCAGCUUGCAAAGGAAUCAAACAUUCUGCAUGCAUCAUGGUUCGCAUAUCAAAGUCAUUGCAGCAACAUCAUCGGUGGCCGCAAUUGUUGUUCUUUUGUUGACAGUGGCCACUGCACUUUAUCUUUCAUUGAAGACAAGAUAUAAUGAAGAGAUACAUUUGAAGGUCGAAAUGUUUCUCAAAACAUAUGGCACGUCAAAACCCACAAGGUACACUUUCUCUGAAGUUAAAAAGAUUGCAAUACGGUUUAAGGAAAAGGUAGGGCAAGGAGGAUUUGGAAGCGUAUAUAAAGGCGGGCUACCAAAUGGAGUGCCUGUGGCAGUCAAGAUGCUAGAGAGCUCUACAGGUGAGGGAGAGGAAUUCAUCAAUGAAGUUGCAACCAUUGGACUGAUCCACCAUGCAAAUAUCGUCCGUCUCUUGGGCUUUUGCUCCGAAGGAAGAAGACGGGCUCUGAUUUAUGAAUUCAUGCCUAACGAGUCUCUGGAGAAAUACAUAUUUCCACAAGUUUCUAAUACUUCUCGACAACCCCUAGCAACCAACAAAAUGCUAGAUAUUGCUUUAGGCAUUGCCCGAGGAAUGGAAUACCUUCAUCAAGGGUGCAACCAGCGCAUUCUCCACUUUGACAUCAAGCCACACAACAUAUUGCUGGACUACAACUUCAACCCGAAGAUCUCAGACUUUGGCCUUGCCAAGCUAUGUGCAAGGGACCAGAGCAUCGUUACCUUAACUGCAGCAAGAGGCACCAUGGGAUACAUUGCACCAGAGCUAUACUCUCGAAACUUUGGAGGGGUGUCUUACAAGUCAGACGUGUACAGUUUCGGCAUGCUGGUGUUGGAAAUGGUGAGCGGACGGAGGAACUCAGACCCAAGUGUUGAGUACCAUGACGAGGUAUAUCUCCCGGAGUGGGUAUACGAGAGAGUAAUUAGUGGGCAUGAAUGGGAGCUUACUUUGGAAAUGACAGCAGAAGACAAAGAAAAGAUGAGGCAGCUGACCGUUGUGGCCCUGUGGUGCAUCCAGUGGAACCCGAAGAAUCGGCCAUCAAUGACAAAGGUGGUAAACAUGUUAACGGGGAGGUUGCACAACCUGCAGAUUCCCCCUAAGCCCUUUGUAUCGUCUGAAAAUCAUCCUAGAACAUAA
This 1863-nucleotide ribosomal RNA is filed under the name Triticum aestivum (bread wheat). RNAcentral describes it as "partial small subunit ribosomal RNA". The record is from RNAcentral. Lineage: Eukaryota; Viridiplantae; Streptophyta; Magnoliopsida; Poales; Poaceae.